This is a long non-coding RNA of Oreochromis aureus, 3029 nucleotides long. RefSeq lists it as uncharacterized. Lineage: Eukaryota; Metazoa; Chordata; Actinopteri; Cichliformes; Cichlidae. The transcript is spliced from 6 exons. The record is from RefSeq and is a predicted model, not a curated record.
CCUCUACAAGUGUGACAUCAGCGGUCAUGGAGAGUCUCCAUCCAGCUGGAUCACUGUCACAGACAAACACACCACCACACCUCCACCUACAUGCACACCUCCACCUGGCUCCAUCGCUAGCCCUGGUUCCCCUCUCAUACCUGUGUUGUCAUGUGUUGGAUCCGUCUGUGUUGUGGUUCUACUGGUGUUACUGGUUCUCCUGAGGAGACGACAUGCCCACAGGAAACCUGAAGAUCAAGCUGGGAAAGAUGGGAUUACAUACAGUGACAUUAGAGUAACACAUCGCCAACGACAACAACCAAUAAGACAUAACAAAGAAGACGAUCCAGCUGUAAUCUACUCUGCAGUGAGAAAUGACAACAUCAGUUAUGAACAAAUCUUCAUUACAGACAAGCAAGAAAAAUCAAAGAUCAGAGAGUGCAAUUCAGCUACAAUCUACUCAGAAGUGAUAGCAGGUGACGUCUGCCAUGGACCGAAAACCACCAGAUCAAAGAGGCCCAAAGAGACAGACACCAUCUACUCUUUACUGAAGUAGUCCACCAGUCCAACCACUGACGUCCAGCUGCUGGUCUCUAACUGGUCCCCUCAGCACCUCAGACCAGAGGACAUCUAUAGAUUUUCACUGAGAUAACUCAAAAAUAACAUCCUAUUUUAGCUAGCUUUAAAUGUUUUUUAUGGCAAAUGAGAAUAUAAAUGUUAAUAUGAUUCAUAACUCUAUUAUUAUUUAAACUUUAUUCGUGUUUGUUGGUUCCUGCAGAGGGAAAUUAUUUUCUGCAUUAACACUCUUCUAGUGUGUUUUUAGUGUUUUUCUCACGUGGUCGUGGGCUUCAAAAAUAUGUGAAAUGGAAAAUGUGACUUGUUUGGUUGUGGCUAAUCGAUGCACACCUCCUGAAAUGCAGAGAAGACUGAACAACCGCAGGCUAAAAACUGCACAGUGGCUGAAAACUGCACAGAAAAACUUCACCACGUGUUUUGCACGUUUGAGGCUGAAGAAUUUAUUUAAUUUUAUUUUUUUAUUUCACUGAGAACCAAGCAGCUGCUUUUUACAUGGCAAAAAUAUUUAUGUUUCAUUAUGUUUGAAAAUUUACUAAAAAAAUAUGCUAAAAAUUUUCAGGCAGCAGCUUCUCAGCAGAGAGACGUUUUUAAGUCUGAUAUUUUAUGUCUGAUAAACUACAAGUAACUCAGACUAACUUCCUGCAGUAUCACAUUUCCUGUUUAACCUCUCACAGAAGCUUAAAAUGACCACAAGUCACUAUCAAAAUCUAUUUCCAUCUACUGGUUGAUCUGCUUCAUUAAUGACAUCAGUUAAAAGCCACAAGUGAGACAGGACUACUGCUUUAACUGUUUUCAAAGCGGAAGAUAAGACAGAGUUUGUGUUCAAACUGCAGCACAAAGCAAAGACUGAGCAGGUUUGGUUUGUUUAAGGCGGCUAACAGUCAGAGGCCUGAAAUAACAACAGGAAAUGAAAGAGACGAGCACCACAAACACCUGAAUAAGAAGACUUUUAACCAGUGACUUUGACUGAACGUCAAACAGACUGAGAGUUACAGUCGUUAAGAUGUGAGCUCACUGUUUGUUACAGGAGACAUUUCUCCGCACAAACAGCAGCAAACAUGAAACAGACAUGGAUCACAAAAAAUAAUAAAAUUGAAAGGUUUAAAAGUAGAAAUAAAGGCUGUCAAUAUUUAAAUUUUUAACAGGGAUGUUGAUGAGUGAAUGAAUUUAAAAUCAGAAAAAAAAAGAGGAAAUUUCACAUUUUCUAAAUUUAAUUAUUGCUAAUCAUCAAGUCUGGUUCUGCUGCUUCCUGUUAAAAACUAGUUCUUCUUUCCCAGAGUCACAAACUGAUGCUUACAAAGCAUUUUAUGAUUGGUGGCUUUUCCCUUAAUGUUUAUGGACUUUAAAAUUUAAGGCACCUGGAGUGUGAACUGGUGUAGAUAAAAAUAAUACAGUUGCAUCAUCAUUAAUUCUUCUUCUUUUAAAAACUGGAAAAUACAGGAAAAUAUUUCACAGAUGAUUUCUCAAUAGUCACAGAUGGUGUUAGCACACAGCUCACUUCCUCUUUGUCAUGUCCCUCACUGUGGGCUCACUUUUCAGGCUAAAUAAUAAAAGUUUCGAUGACCGGACUGUAUGUAGAACAUGUAGUGCAGAAUUACAAGAAGAGCAAAACAACACAAUUUAUUUUAACUCAUAUCUGACAUGAGUUGGAACAAGACAUGAACGACAUUUUAGACAUUUGCUCAACAUCUAUUUUAUAUUUUGAAUAUUUUGAAAACCAUUUAAUCACCAGCUGCAUUCAUGGAAAAGUGUGAUUUAAGCAAAAUAUAUGUUUUAAUAUUUUGUGUGCAUUAGUUUCAGUGUUACAGACAGAAAAUGUGCUGCAAUUGUGGAGUUGAACAGUUCUUUACAGCAUUCUUGUGUUUAACAGAUUUCAGGCUCAGCCUACCAAAAUAAAACAGCAGUAAACUUCCUUUUUCUGUUUGUGGAGGUUUAGAUGCACAUUUGCUCACCACCUCUCUUCACUCUUUGUCACGGUCAGUGACCCAGUGUUUUUGGUUUUUGCACUUUUACUUUUGAUUUUAUUAUAAAUUAUGAUAGUUUGUGUUUUGGUUUCACUGUGUUUAUUCUGUGGUCCCUCUGUUCUGUGUCAUCCCUGCCUGUGUAUCCCCUCUAGUGUAGUCAGGUCUCUGUGUAAAGCCUGCGUCUCUGAGUCUGCGUCUUCUGUAUUUUGAGCUUCCUGUUUUGUUGCGAUGUCCCGUCAUGUCUGAAUAGUCGCAGCUGUGCUCUCCCUCUGUGUGUUUAAGCCUUGUGUCUGCCUUUGUUAGUUGCUGGUUCGUCUGCGUUAUCUCCCUCUGUCAUCCUGUGUGGUUCCUCUGCAUCUGUCUACGUCUCCCUGCAUCUCCAUUUGUGUCUCAAGGUUUCAGGUUAGCUUUAUUCUUAGUUUUCUCAAUUUAGGUUUUGUCAGUUCUGUUCUCGCACCCUCGCCUUUUGUUGUAUGUCAUUCUUCUCAAUAAAGCUCACUGUCAUCAGAA